This 105-nucleotide small nuclear RNA is filed under the name Theropithecus gelada (gelada). The record is from RNAcentral. Lineage: Eukaryota; Metazoa; Chordata; Mammalia; Primates; Cercopithecidae.
UUGCUCGCUUCAGUAGCACAUAUACUAAAAUGGUAAUGAUACAGAGAAGAUUAGUAUGGCCCCUUAAAAAAAAUCACCUUAGGGCUUGUUAAAACACGCAUUCCU